This 254-nucleotide ribosomal RNA is filed under the name uncultured bacterium. RNAcentral's name for it is "partial 16S ribosomal RNA". It matches the Rfam family "Bacterial small subunit ribosomal RNA", at positions 524 to 777 of the family's 1533-position model. The record is from RNAcentral.
UACGUAGGGACCGAGCGUUGUCCGGAAUCAUUGGGCGUAAAGAGCGUGUAGGCGGCCUUUUAAGUCCUGCGUGAAAUCCUGCGGCUCAACCGCAGACGGUCGUGGGAAACUGGAAGGCUAGAGUGCGGGAGAGGAGAGUGGAAUUCCCGGUGUAGCGGUGAAAUGCGCAGAUAUCGGGAAGAACACCCGUGGCGAAGGCGGCUCUCUGGAACGCAACUGACGCUGAGACGCGAAAGCGUGGGGAGCAAACAGGG